This 21-nucleotide microRNA is filed under the name Panagrellus redivivus. RNAcentral's name for it is "prd-miR-7579-3p". Lineage: Eukaryota; Metazoa; Nematoda; Chromadorea; Rhabditida; Panagrolaimidae. The record is from miRBase by way of RNAcentral.
UUGAGAAUUUGUGGGCGGUAA